UACGGGGGGGGCAAGCGUUGUUCGGAAUUACUGGGCGUAAAGGGUCUGUAGGUGGCUUGUUAAGUCAGACGUGAAAUCCCUCAGCUUAACUGGGGAACUGCGUCUGAGACUGGUGAGCUCGAGUGCAGGAGAGGAAUGUGGAAUUCCAGGUGAAGCGGUGAAAUGCGUAGAUAUCUGGAAGAACACCGGUGGCGAAGGCGGCAUUCUGGACUGCAACUGACACUGAAAGACGAAAGCCAGGGGAGCAAACGGG
This 253-nucleotide ribosomal RNA is filed under the name uncultured bacterium. RNAcentral's name for it is "partial 16S ribosomal RNA". It matches the Rfam family "Bacterial small subunit ribosomal RNA", at positions 524 to 776 of the family's 1533-position model. The record is from RNAcentral.